Molecule: long non-coding RNA, 1396 nt
Organism: Rhincodon typus (whale shark)
Lineage: Eukaryota; Metazoa; Chordata; Chondrichthyes; Orectolobiformes; Rhincodontidae
Exons: 3
Source: RefSeq, a predicted model, not a curated record
GGAGGGCGAUGAAGGAAUUGGUUGAUUUCUGCCUUUAAUAUUUUCCAUGCCCUGUUUCUGGCUGAUAGCUUUUGAAUCAUCAGGAUUCUGUCAAGGAACACGUUUUAAAUUUUAAUCAAGAGAGUAAGUGCCAAUCUUAUUUAGCACAAUAUUCCAGUUCUAAUCUUGGAUCUGCUGGGCUCUCCUACAUAUGAAUGCACAUCAAGCUGAAAAACUCAUUGUUAUUCUAUCAAAGGGUUCAGGAUGGAGCUAGCCUUUCAAACACCACCGCUGGAACACUGUGAAUGGACCAUCUUGCUACCAAUGAUGAAAACAAUCUGCAAGUUGUGGACACCAACUCUUGCUGGGAACUACUGCCUACAACCUUGUAAGUUUAAUCAGCUGAAACUAACAGCUCUGGGAAUCCCUGUGAAUUCCAGUUGGAAGGGAGAUUUCAUGAACAUUCACCUUUAGAACAUGACCACAUCCACAGCAUUCUACUGUGUGGGCAUCGGUCUCUGGGUUCAGGACGUGGAAUUCAAUUUGAAGGCAAUGUCCUCCUUUGUUCGAUUUCUCACCUCCACUAUUGCCUUGAAUUGAACUUUCCUGCAACAGUUGCCCUGCAUCUCACAUUCUUUACCCUUUCUAUAGGUUUUUAUAGUCAAAUUAGUUACACUCAAACCAGUCCUGAUGUCAUUAGUAAUUUGACAUGUUAACUAUAUUAGUGAUAAGACAGGCCUGCUGUAAACUGAACAGUAACAGUCCUCUGUGAAAACGAUUGUUUGCAAAAUGUUAUUGACAAAGCUAAACUACAGCACACUUGGGAGAGGAAUUCAGGAGUGUCGGCACUUGUUUCAAAUCAGCUUAAAAAACCUCCUAAUGGGAACCAACACAGAACUGUAAGUUAUCUAUAAUGGCCAACUUUAGAACUUACCUUUUGUUUGAUGAAGCAGGCUGUCUGCUGACACAGAUUUAAAUCGGGACUAUGAAUACAUUGGUAGGAUUGAUGUUAGGCAUUUCUAUACAAGAGUGGUCUCUCCAGACAGUUGGUCUACAAAACAUGUUUCAUUUUAUACAUCACGUUCUCAAUGCCACCUACCUUCAAGGUAAAAUUCUAAUUAUUCACUGCUUUUGAUAUUGGGGGAAAAGUGGGGCAAGUUUUGCAAAGUGUUAAAACGUUUCUGUUUUCAAAUACAUCUUUAUCUCAUUACUAUUAUCGCUCAACAAAAAUGUGAACCAAUGCAUCUGUUACUAAGAAAUUCAACGUACAGGCAAUCACUUCUACAACUUACCCUGGCAAUGUGUAGUUUGUACAAAAGGUGGCAUCGGCUCCUGAAUGAAUAUUAACAUAAGCGAAUUUGUUCUGAAAUGAAGUAAAUUCUUCAAUCUUCUUUUAAACAUAAAAUGAGUUAAAUUA